GACGAACGCUGGCGGCAUGCCUAACACAUGCAAGUCGAGCGAGUAGAUCCCUUCGGGGUGAAGCUAGCGGCGGACGGGUGAGUAACACGUGGGCAACCUGCCUCAUAGAGGGGAAUAGCCUUCCGAAAGGAAGAUUAAUACCGCAUAAGAUUGUAGCUUCGCAUGAAGCAGCAAUUAAAGGAGCAAUCCGCUAUGAGAUGGGCCCGCGGCGCAUUAGCUAGUUGGUGAGGUAACGGCUCACCAAGGCGACGACGCGUAGCCGACCUGGGAGGGUGAUCGGCCACAUUGGGACUGAGACACGGCCCAGACUCCUACGGGAGGCAGCAGUGGGGAAUAUUGCACAAUGGGGGAAACCCUGAUGCAGCAAUGCCGCGUGAGUGAUGACGGCCUUCGGGUUGUAAAGCUCUGUCUUCGGGGACGAUAAUGACGGUACCCGAGGAGGAAGCCACGGCUAACUACGUGCCAGCAGCCGCGGUAA
This 478-nucleotide ribosomal RNA is filed under the name uncultured bacterium. RNAcentral's name for it is "partial 16S ribosomal RNA". It matches the Rfam family "Bacterial small subunit ribosomal RNA", at positions 28 to 523 of the family's 1533-position model. The record is from RNAcentral.